Molecule: long non-coding RNA, 4130 nt
Organism: Callorhinchus milii (elephant shark)
Lineage: Eukaryota; Metazoa; Chordata; Chondrichthyes; Chimaeriformes; Callorhinchidae
Exons: 2
Source: RefSeq, a predicted model, not a curated record
CAGCGGCACUGACCAUAUGAUCCCACAGAUCGACGAGCAAGGCUUCAGAUGAUGAAAGUUAGCACGAUCAUCAGUUCCAAAGAUCAGCUGAAGAAUCGGAAGAGGAAAGGAAUUCAAGAACUUAUUCCUUAUCAUAGUCACCUUGGCUAAUGGCUGCUGUCUAAGAAGGAUCUAGCUAUUAGCAUUGUGUGGGUUUAUUUGUGCAUCUGCUCUGAAUUUGACAUCUUGAAUGCUAGACAGCAGCAUGCAAGAACAACCUCGCUUUUUUAAUAGUUUUUUUUAGAUCUACUUUGCUGAUAACAUGGUAUGUGCUGCUUUACAGACUCUUGUCUGUCAGGUCUUUUGAUUUUCUGUGGUAGGAUAGGAUUUUUGUAAAGCUUAUUCGGAUUUCACUGCCAACAAUUGAAAUUCUGACGAUCUUUUUUUUCAAACCAUCUUUGGCAUGCCAGAAAAUCCUCUGAUGCCAGCAUUACAAAGCAAUCAACAGUGGCAUGAAAGACAUUGCAUACGUUUUACAAAAAUCAGCAUACCUUUGUAUACAAUUGAAAUGAAAUAGCUUGUGAGAGCACUCUGAACAUUUCUGACAGCGCUCCAGCUGGGAUCUCACACAGAACACAGAUAAAUCCACAGCUGAUGGGGUAAGGUGCAGAGUUUAAAAUGGUUUGUACUAUCACGAAGAUCACCUGCUUAGCUUUUGGAAGAGUACAAAAAUAAAAUGUGUAAGUAAAGGCAUGUCUGUAGCUUCUGUGCAAUCUGAAGACAGAUUUAUAUCCAAUCCUUUGCUAGUUCAGGCUAUGGUGAGAAAAUUAUUGCUAUAAGACUGCUCCUGACAAAACUCAGUAAUGCAGGGAUUCAUUUUUAAUAAAAGGUUUCAAGAACUAGGGAGAGUAGCACUGAACCAAUUCAGAGCCAUGAAAUUCUGCUACUGUCUUUGUAACCUUGCAACCUCAAAGCAUAUGUUGUUCUGUACUCACUGGAGCACUGCCCUGCGAGACAAAUGGAUAAAAGUAUAAUUUUGUGCUUAGUUCAGCCCAAAUUGAAGGUUUUCAGUUUUACUGGGAUUAUUGGCCAUUUGUCAAUGUAUUUUCCAACCUCGGGGACAAUCGUUUAUGAAUGUUCUGUUAUAAUUCGCCAAUUAAAAAUUCUGGAGGUUGUAAUUUUAAUGUUCCUAAUGUAUAUGGAAUUUAUUUGUAUUGAUUGCUCAUAGAUUUGCUUUCCUCUACCUGUUAAAAUCAUUGUCUUUCAACUAGCCUUUUCUCCUUCCUGUCUUUAAAUUUAUAUUUUCCAGUAAUUUGCAGUAGUAUGUUGGGAAGUUCAAUUUACAUGCACUUAAAUUUUGCAACACAAUAACAUGUUCUUUGAUUACAAGUCUCAUUUCAGCAUUUUUUUCUUGAACAAAACUACCUUUAUGUUAAACAUGCAGGUUUAUCGGUGUUUUAGAAAUUCCAUUGAGGAACAUUUUUGCGACAGACCGAGCAAUUCAACUCACACAAGGGUACAUAGAGUAAGCUGGGGAAAGCACUGUACAGAUGGUAGACAUUGCAAAGGCUGAUUGCUGUUAAACCCACGACUCUAAAAGAACAAUCAGAAUUAAAACACAAGUUAUAAACUGGUUUAAAAGCUUGGCACCAAAAUGUUUUCGAUUGCUUCUAUCCUGAAAUGGCACAUCCUGCGAAGAAUUGAAUACUGACGUAAAAUAAACUACAUUAGGUUGUUUACCUAAUACUAUCACCAAGACUCAAAUACAAAUCCGAUCGCCGUACAUUAAAGCCGAAUAAAACCAUUGUAGAACAUUCCUGUUUUUCCAAUUAAUUUCCAAACCCACACCAAAGAAUUCCCUCUUAAAGCUGCUUUUUAUUUUCCUGGAUAUACCACCCUCUCCAACAAAUACACACAUGCCUUCUUUGCUCUCUGAAUUUUACAAUUUUACUAUUCACUGGCAUACUACCAGUUAAUUCUUGCUUUACUUCCAAAACAUAAAUCUGUAUAUUUAUGUUAAAUAUUGUGUACUGUAACAUUCAAAAUUGUAAAUAUAUAACUUAGGAGUGCUGUUUGAAAUAUUACAAAGCAACUGUUAGUAUGAUUCACUUUAUAUAUCUGUGAUAUUAGGAAAAGCAAUCAGACUAAAGUAAAUCAGACUAUUAAAGGCAUAAAAUAAUUUUCACUCCUUAUUAUUCAGUCCCAGUGUGAAGCUCUUUGAGACAUCCUUCUGACGCAAAAAGCGCUAUAUAAAUAUAAAUUGUUGUUAGAAUGUCAUGGGAGUAAAAAUAGCUAUUUAAAGUCUUUCUAUUAUGUAGGACUUCUUUUUUAUUGCCUUAUUGUUAUUAUCUCACAACCUAGAUUAUUUCAUUAAAGUACCUUUCACUGUGCUAGUCUGUUUUUUGCUCCCAAAAAUAUCAAACAUUAUUCUGAAGAGCAUCACCUUGUACCAUACCAUUGUCAAAGGUUAACUACAUAAAUGAAUCCUGAAAGCACACUUCUACACAUACAACCAAUGAGAGUCAUUGCAAUAACGAGGGUUUGGGAAAAUAAACAGAUAAAUGUCUUUAAAACAAAUGUUAAAAGUCGAGUUUAGCCAAGAAAAGUACUUUUAAGAGUUUUUUUUACAACUAAUAUAGUGCACAGAUAUGUUUCUAAUAUUUGAUUAGCAAUAGUCAGGUGUCUGUUUACAUAAUUUCUGUGUAUUAAUAAUAGCACACAAUACUUGUGAUGUACUUUGUUAACUUCAUGGCUCAAUUUGUCAUUAAAACAAACUUGGAAGGAAAAUAUACUUAGAAUUAGACUGAAGGCUACAGGGCAACUAUUUGCCAAAGUUCAGAGAGUAGCAUAUGGGGCUGUGACAGCAAUGGAUAUUGUAAUUCUUAUUUGUCCUUCUGAUUUUUUUUAUGACAGUAACAAUAGAUUGUGCUGUGUUGUGCUGACUUUCCCAAUCACUGACACAAGCUGUUUAGAAUUUUAAAGGAAUUUGUGCACUGAAAUUAGAUCGACACUUACAUGAGCUGAGAGGUGGGAGCUUUAGGAAACUUUGGAACUAUAGUACUAUGAAUUGAGCGUAUCAGGGGCCAAAUUUCUCAAGUACUUAGGCUUAAGACAUUAAGAUUUUAAAUCAUGCAGUACAUUUUGGGAAAUGAUCUUAGAUUUGGUAUUAAAUUCAGUCUUAAUUUUCAAGUCAAAUUUUGGCAGUACAGUACUCAAAAAGAUUGUCUUCCAAAUUCAGUCUGAAUGUAAUGAUCUUAAGGCUAAGAGCAUGAGAAAUUUCGGAUCCUGUUGUCUCUCUUUUAAGUGAUCACCUUUUAUAUACUUGCUGGUGUUACUGGCAUUAUUUUAGGCAUACAGUAUUUUAUUUUUAUUUCUUUAUGUUAGUGGUACACCAAAAGGACUUUGCUAAUGAAUUUUCAUUUCUUCAAAUAUAUAAUUCUUGAUUCAAAAACGUUGUAUAUGACAAAAUCACAAAAAGCAUAAGCGUUGUGCAGUCUGUUUGGUGAUCAGUAGAGUUGUAUUCACUUUCUGUGCACAUAUGAUUCAAUGUGCAGUCUCGUAUUUGUUAUCCUUGUAAAGAAUAUGUUCUCCUGUGAAUAUUUAUUCUUUUUUGUAACUUUUAUUGAGCAAAUAUAUUGUGUGUGCCCUGCCAAGUCUUUAAAAAGUGAGGUAAAAAUGUACGCCCCUUUAAGACAACAGGAACAAAAUUCGAGAGAAUAUCUUACAUAUUGGGUUCUGAAUGUCUCCCCACGGACAUUUACGUAGAGAUCAUUGUAUAUUUAUGCUAUGCUGCCUUGUAAAUUCCUUGAGCACUAGGGUGAAUGCAAGUAUCCCAAAUAUGUCUCUGUGAUGUGUUGUUCAAAGCAACUGCAUAUGUAUGCUUCAAUGAUAUUGCUUUUUGUAUGAUGCAUCUAUUCAAAUCCAUCUCCUUUGACAAGUGCAGCAGUUUGGUACAGAAACAAAAAUGUACAUGAAAUGUAAACAAAUGACACAAACUUUAAAAAAAAUCCUAGAAUGUAGUAACAUAGAAUAAAUGUUGCAUUAUUUGUUUCAAAUUGUAUGUAAUGUAUGAUUGCAGAUGUUACCGAUAUGUCCUUCUGUAACUGUUCAUUUCUUGUUACGUGGGAAUAAAUAAAAUAUAGUACAUCUGA